RNAcentral lists this ribosomal RNA (435 nucleotides) under uncultured Anaerolineae bacterium. RNAcentral's name for it is "partial 16S ribosomal RNA". It matches the Rfam family "Bacterial small subunit ribosomal RNA", at positions 338 to 789 of the family's 1533-position model. The record is from RNAcentral. Lineage: Bacteria; Bacillati; Chloroflexota; Anaerolineae.
CCUACGGGAGGCAGCAGUGAGGGAUAUUGCGCAAUGGGCGAAAGCCUGACGCAGCGACGCCGCGUGGGCGAGGAAGGCCUUCGGGUUGUAAAGCCCUUUUGGCAGGGAAGAGCAAGGACUGUACCUGCAGAACAAGUCACGGCUAACUACGUGCCAGCAGCCGCGGUAAGACGUAGGAGGCGAGCGUUAUCCGGAUUUACUGGGCGUAAAGCGCACGCAGGCGGCUUCGUUAGUCGGAUGUGAAAGCUCCUGGCUUAACUGGGAGAGGCCAUUCGAUACUGCGGGGCUGGAGGUUGGAAGAGGGGUGUGAAAUUCCCGGUGUAGGGGUGGAAUGCGUAGAGAUCGGGAGGAACACCCGUGGCGUAGGCGGCGUCCUGGCCGACACCUGACGCUGAAGCGCGAAAGCGUGGGGAGCGAACGGGAUUAGAUCCCCCU